RNAcentral lists this long non-coding RNA (1028 nucleotides) under Macaca mulatta (Rhesus monkey). RNAcentral's name for it is "lncRNA (ENSMMUG00000057583.1)". The record is from RNAcentral. Lineage: Eukaryota; Metazoa; Chordata; Mammalia; Primates; Cercopithecidae.
CGUACUCUGAGGUGGUUCCCGGGGAGACUCCAAGAUUAGAACCCAUCUCCACAGCAUUGGUUCACCCUGACUGCUACUCGCUGUGGAAAUUCAGCUUCCUCAUCUAUAGAAGGGGCGGGAACCACUGCAUAUUUCUUCGGUUGUUAGAAGGGAUAAAUAAUGUAAUCAUUUAAAGUCCUUGGAUAAUUGCAUAGGGUAUCCUGUGUUAUACACAGUGCGUGAUCAGUAAAUUUGUUCCGUGUGUCUGUGUGAGAGAGAGAGAGAGAGAGAGAGACACACACACACACACACACACACACACACACACACACACAGAGUUCACUUUUGUGGUCACUCACUUUUAUCUGUCGUUUCCCCACCACAGGCGGGAGCUGCAUGCUUGGGGACAGGGCACCUUCCUCUCAUGGCUUGGGUGUUGUGGGACGUGUUCCCAGAUUCUAUUCUAGUUGACAGAGCCCUUUGCCGGCCUGAGGACAGCAUGUCUCUGCAUAAGUUUAAGAAUAGAGGCCAUUUUUGGUCUACAGUUUGGAGGCCUCCUCCCUCCUCCUGUCUACAGAUGAGGAAGUUCAAACAGCAGUUCAGAGAAGCCCAAGCCCUCGCCAGGUCUGCUGAGCGUCUGCUCAAUAACUGUUUUUAGGAAGGUCCCGUGGCUUUGCCCCCAAUGGCUGCUUCUGUGAACAGGACUCUGUGGGACACAGCCGAGCUUCUGCAUAGACCACCUCAGCACCGCGAGUCUCAUCCGUGCCCGAGGGAGAAAGGCAGAGGCCUCUGGGCAGAAGGGAAUUUUAGGUUUGAGCUAGGAGGGAUGCAGAAAGGAAAGCAGGGGAGGAGGCUACCAGAGCAGCUGGUGAGGGCGAGCCCGUGACCUCUUCCAGCAAAUUGGUGGGGCUGGCCUGUGAGCGCUGCUGUAGCUGCAGUGGCAGCCAAGCAGAUUAAUCUGAUUUCCUGGCAGUGAUGCAUCCAAAGUCACGAGGCCGCAGCUGCACGGCGGCUCUGGCCAGCACUGUGCCGGGGGUGUUGGGAAGGGG